Molecule: non-coding RNA, 71 nt
Organism: Gongylonema pulchrum
Lineage: Eukaryota; Metazoa; Nematoda; Chromadorea; Rhabditida; Gongylonematidae
Source: Rfam
GGACCGGUAGUGUAGUGGUAACACAUUACUUCCGAAUGCGAAGAGGACUGGUUCGAUUCCCUCCCGGUCCA